UACGUAGGGUGCAAGCGUUUAAUCGGAAUUACUGGGCGUAAAGCGUGCGCAGGCGGUUAUGUAAGACAGAUGUGAAAUCCCCGGGCUCAACCUGGGAACUGCAUUUGUGACUGCAUAGCUAGAGUACGGUAGAGGGGGAUGGAAUUCCGCGUGUAGCAGUGAAAUGCGUAGAUAUGCGGAGGAACACCGAUGGCGAAGGCAAUCCCCUGGACCUGUACUGACGCUCAUGCACGAAAGCGUGGGGAGCAAACGAGG
RNAcentral lists this ribosomal RNA (255 nucleotides) under uncultured bacterium. RNAcentral's name for it is "partial 16S ribosomal RNA". It matches the Rfam family "Bacterial small subunit ribosomal RNA", at positions 524 to 777 of the family's 1533-position model. The record is from RNAcentral.